CCUACGGGUUGCAGCAGUAGGGAAUCUUCGGCAAUGGACGAAAGUCUGACCGAGCAACGCCGCGUGAGUGAUGAAGGUUUUCGGAUCGUAAAACUCUGUUGGUAGAGAAGAACGUUGGUGAGAGUGGAAAGCUCAUCAAGUGACAGUAACUACCCAGAAAGGGACGGCUAACUACGUGCCAGCAGCCGCGGUAAUACGUAGGUCCCGAGCGUUGUCCGGAUUUAUUGGGCGUAAAGCGAGCGCAGGUGGUUUAUUAAGUCUGGUGUAAAAGGCAGUGGCUCAACCAUUGUAUGCAUUGGAAACUGGUAGACUUGAGUGCAGGAGAGGAGAGUGGAAUUCCAUGUGUAGCGGUGAAAUGCGUAGAUAUAUGGAGGAACACCGGUGGCGAAAGCGGCUCUCUGGCCUGUAACUGACACUGAGGCUCGAAAGCGUGGGGAGUAAACAGGAUUAGAUACCCCUGUAGUC
RNAcentral lists this ribosomal RNA (465 nucleotides) under uncultured bacterium. RNAcentral describes it as "bacterial SSU rRNA". It matches the Rfam family "Bacterial small subunit ribosomal RNA", at positions 338 to 795 of the family's 1533-position model. The record is from RNAcentral.